Long non-coding RNA from Prionailurus viverrinus (fishing cat), 852 nucleotides. RefSeq lists it as uncharacterized. NCBI's taxonomy places the organism in Eukaryota, Metazoa, Chordata, Mammalia, Carnivora, Felidae. The transcript has 6 exons. The record is from RefSeq and is a predicted model, not a curated record.
CGGUAUCUCACCGCUGCCUCGGUGCAGGUAAGGAUACUAAAGCCCAGAGAAGGGCGUUUACUUGUUCAAAGUCACGCAGCUUUAUCCAAAAGUAAAGCACGGAAGAAAUUUGGUAGGCUUUGCGGUCAGAGAGAGUUGGGUUCAAAUCCUGGAUCUGUCAUCAUGUUCCUUGGCAUAAUCCAGGACAGAGGAGUGAAAGGAAUUCCGGGUUAAAUCCCAUUAUGGCGGGAAGAGAGAACAUUAUGAAGACAGACAUCCCAGGUGGAGACCCAACCCUGCCACUUCCUGGCUGUGUCAACUUGGUGCGUGGGUGCCCUGCUCAGACACCCCUCUGAGGAGGUAGAGGACUUGUCCCAGCUGUUGGCAGUGCUGGCGGCCCCUUGAGGGACUGACUGCCUGAGUUGUGAGGAGUCCUCUUGCCCAAGAUGUCGACCUCAGGAGCACUCCUCGAUAAACCUCCAGCGCUCGAAACUCCAUUUUGAAGUCUGCUUCCUGUGGAGCCCAACCUGUGAUGCUUUGUUCUGUUUUUAAAUAGAUUCUACUCUGACCUUCCUCCUCACUGGCAAUAAUGUCAGUCGGCAUUUAUCGAGUGCCCAUAUGAGAUGAGGAAACUGGGGCCCAGAGAAGUUAAACGCCAUCUCUGAAGUUCCGUCACAGAUCAGCACGAGGGCAAGGAACGAAGACCACGGUCUACACUGCGCCUUUGCUUUCUUUGCCAAUUCGCUGUGUGUUUCUCCAAAUGAAUCUUUUGAUACUCUAUUGGUCUCUGUCCAGAGGUUUAUCCUUCCAUACUACACAGUGUCCUUCGGUAGCCAACUGGUGUGUUAAGGAGAUUGUAAGGGGGUGGGGGAG